UCUUCAUUGUUACCAGCCGACACACAACUGAUUUCCCUCCCAACCUUAUCUUCUUGUCUACACCCACAAAUGAAAAGUUGAGCUUCCAUCAAACACAGACCUCUUUCACAUUUGAGAAAAAAAAAAAAAAAACCCUAACCCCUCUACAAAAACUACAGCCGCACCCCUAUAACUUCCCCUCAUUUUGGUUUGUUCACUGCAUCUUGUUCUUGUAACACACAGCCAAACACCCCUUGUUCUCCCAUAAAUAUCCGGCCACGGAUCGGUGGCUCCGGCGCCGAUACCGACCGGCCACACCCCCUUCGACUCCCCUGCAUCUCCUACACACCCACCUUUCUUCCCCCUCCUUCGGUCUGUGUAACGGCCCACUGCCGUGAGCGGUUUCUCCGACAACCCCCCCUGUUAAUAAAAGUACGGCCACCACCACCACCGUCUGGUGGCGGCGGCGAUGGUACAACGAGAGAGAUGGAGGCGACAAGUUCAGAGAGAGAGAGAGAGUGAGUUCAAGAUAGAGAAAUCGUAGAGUUUGGAGGAGAGCCGCCGCCGUCGACGGCGGGGCGUGGCGGUGGUCGGAGUCGCUGCCCGACAGUUAGCACAGUUCAGUUUCAGUUACAGUUCAGCGGAUCAGAUGGGUUUGGGGUUCGGUCGAUAUCAGGCACGGGUCAAAGCUUGGUUCGGGUUACGUCUCACGUUUCGGCUCAGCAGGUUCGGAAGUUUUGGGUCUCAGCUGAGUGUGGUUCGGGUUUUCUGUUCGGGUCGCGUAUUGGGUUCGGGUCAGCCGCGGUCAACCACGGGUCGGUGGUUCGAGAGAUGGUUCAGUUUUGGUUCAGUCAAAACUGGUCAAAGCUCGGUCAAUCUGGUCAACAUCAAGUCAACUGCUCGGUUUCGGGUUUUGGACUCAGCUGGUUCGGGUCAACUGUGGUUUGGGUCAAGAUUCGGGUGCGGUCAACGGUUUUGGGACCGAGUCAACCCGGUCAAACCUGGUCAACUCGGUUGACUCGGUCGACUCGGUCAACUCAGUUAGCCUAUCCGACAAAUCGACGCGAAGGCUUUGGUAAAGAUUUUACCGGCCCGACUAUUUCGUAUUUUUAUAGUUUUAACUCAUUACAUGAAAACGAGCUCGAACCGAAAUAAAAUGAUGAAUCGAUAGUUAAAGUAUACUUUGAUUUAUUA
Long non-coding RNA from Helianthus annuus (common sunflower), 1173 nucleotides. RefSeq lists it as uncharacterized. NCBI's taxonomy places the organism in Eukaryota, Viridiplantae, Streptophyta, Magnoliopsida, Asterales, Asteraceae. The record is from RefSeq and is a predicted model, not a curated record. The transcript has 2 exons.